CGCUGUCUGGAGACAAAGCCGAGCGCCAAGAGAAAGAGGCCAAGACUCGAAUGUAUUUCAGACAAGACCCCGAGGACUGAGUCAGACUUCUGCACAGAACACCGAGUCUAAUUUUAGAUGACUCGACUCGACUUAGCCCUUUAAGCUCUGCCAGUUAGUUUUGGUUACGUGUCAUUGUUUAAAGUUUAAAUAUUCUUUGCAUUUUUUUUUUCCUCCAAGAGUGCAGUUAAAUUAGAUGCUGGUCGAAAGGACAAGUUAUUUGUGGAUGUAUGUGCCUCCCCCAUUAGGCUUCGCUGCCUGCGACUUUCUGAAGCCGCCUGGGAAGUUUCCUUCCUGGGAGGACUCUUGGCUCUCUUUCUCCGGACAGUGUGUGUGGGGGUUCCCAGAGGUAUUGUGGAUCUUGGAAGAGUAAAAAAGGGCCCAGGCCACUUGAUCAAAGAUCAGAAGUUCAAAGACGGCCAAGGUGGUGCAUAACUGCAUGAAGGUCAACUCUAAAAUAUGUGCGAACAUGUUGUUCGCCAUUUAUUAAGCUCUAUGCAGAGGCAUUUUUUU
Molecule: long non-coding RNA, 552 nt
Organism: Pipistrellus kuhlii (Kuhl's pipistrelle)
Lineage: Eukaryota; Metazoa; Chordata; Mammalia; Chiroptera; Vespertilionidae
Exons: 3
Source: RefSeq, a predicted model, not a curated record